RNAcentral lists this unclassified non-coding RNA (181 nucleotides) under uncultured fungus. RNAcentral describes it as "sequence contains ITS2". The record is from RNAcentral. Lineage: Eukaryota; Fungi.
UAAAAUCAAUCCCCACGGGUUUCUUGACCCGGCGGUGGACUUGGACUUGGGUGUCUGCCGUUCACGCGGCUCGCCUUAAAGAUGUUAGUGGGACAAGUUGCCUACGGCUUGACGUAAUAAGUUUCGUCAGACCCGGUGUCUUAUGCCCGCUCACAACCCUCCUUUCAUGGAACCCCUUUAU